This 139-nucleotide ribosomal RNA is filed under the name uncultured eukaryote. RNAcentral's name for it is "partial 18S ribosomal RNA". It matches the Rfam family "Eukaryotic small subunit ribosomal RNA", at positions 1299 to 1458 of the family's 1831-position model. The record is from RNAcentral.
UGGUGGUGUGAAUUGUCUGGUUGAUUCCGAUAACGAACGAGACUCUCAGGGUAAACUAGUGCGCGUCGUAUUUCGCGAUACUUCCCACUUCUUUUCCCGACAAUUCGUUUCAAACGAAAGGAAGCAGAGAGCAAUAACA